AACAAGUCUGGCAGCAUCCAUGGAGAGAGAAACAGAGUUAACAUUUUGAGUCAAAUAUCACUCUUCUUCAGAGUUCUGAAAAGUUAUAUUCUUCCUAGUGUAAGUUGGGUGAAUAUUAGAAUGGAGUGUGGGUCUGAUGGUUGGCCAGCUCAAAGAAAGGGGGUCUUGCAAUCGCUCAUCACCAUUUCACGUCUUUCUGAAGCGGCAGGACACGGGGAGCUUCCAGCGAGAGGAAUGUAUCGAGGUGUUUGUUCGUGCAAAAGAGUGAUCGUUGCUUGAGGCUCCUGUUGCGGUGUGUGAGUGGCCGUAGGGAGAGGCAUCCCCAGCCAUAUCUUUUUCACUUGUGUGGUGUCAUUUCAUAGUCGUGGAGCGACUGGACAAUUCCGCCGCAGUUCGCAACCCCGAAGCAGGUUGCUGGGCUUGUGGAGGCCUGAGCCUGGUUGGCUGGUGUUCAGAUCUAUCGCCAAAGAGAAGAAUGUGAGAGGUUGUUAACGUACGGUGAUGACUCCCUCUAAUUGGAAUGGGUAACCAUGAAUAUGUUACUGAAGGACCUGUUUACAGUUUUCCUCAAAGUAUUGACAGAGAAAGUCUCCAAGCGACACACCACCUUACAUCACCGCUGUACAAAGCCACCAAGGGGAAGAAAGGAAAGAAGAUCUGUGUUUGUAUAACACACCUUACCACAUAGGAAUUGCUUAUCGAGAAAAGACAAAGCUGAAACUUACCCGACAAACUUGAGAAGUGAAAUCUCGAAUUUAAAAAGGAAUGAAGCUCCAAGGGAACUGCUGAGGACACAGCUAUACGUAUCCUUAAGUUGAUAUUUAUAGAGAUGUGAUCUUGUUGGCUUCAGACGUUUUCUUGCGCAGCACUAACAAUUUGGAUUUUACCUGAGCUGAAUUUUUAAAUUUUAUAAUACUCCUGUCGUGUUAACACCCGCAUUUUUCUCAGUGUGUGAUAUUUCCGUAUCUGGAAUACUGAACGAGUGUUGUUUUUAUGAUCUCCAGGUUAUUCUAUCAUUUAACUAGAUCCUGGGUAAGUGAAAGGUGCGCUUCUGAUCAUAGGGAACGUGAGGUCUCCAGAAAGUGUCUUGCCCCAAAACCUGGAAAUUGUGACUUUUUGCUCCGAUGCUGUUUUGGUUAUGUAAUCUCAAACUGACCCCAAUGUAGCUUUCCUGAACUUGCAUCUGCUGAAGAAUGUUGAAAAGAAUGAGGAGAAAGAACUAAAUCGAAACUUGUACUUGGGUGGAUAAUAAGUGUUUACAUCGCCAAUGAUUGGUUGAAGGUGGAUCGUGUCUCGAUCGUAUGGAUGUCUCCAACCUGUCUAAGCUCUAGUAACCCCCCUGUUAAACCUCUUCUCCUCCCAACCUCUCUGUCCGCAGUUUAAUACCUACCUCUUUGACCUAACUUGUAAACCUUUGCUCACCUUUCUCGGUGUCAGAUUUUAGUUCAGUAAAGCUCCUGUGAAGCACUAUGGGGCUUCUCACUAUGUUAAAGUUGUUUAUAAAUGCAAGUUGUAUCUGAAGAAUGGUCUUAAGGAGGACCAGCGGAGCAGGAGCAGUAAAGAAAGGACCAGACAACUUAAAACUCUCGUGAUCACCUGUCCUCAAAAGGAUUUAUGUAAUUAUCAUUGCCAGUUGUAUUUACUGUCUGGCUACUAUGUGUAACCAGUUGUAAUUGCCUAUUAAAAUUACUGAUCGCAAA
Molecule: long non-coding RNA, 1700 nt
Organism: Carcharodon carcharias (great white shark)
Lineage: Eukaryota; Metazoa; Chordata; Chondrichthyes; Lamniformes; Lamnidae
Exons: 4
Source: RefSeq, a predicted model, not a curated record